GGGCCAAGCUGAUUUUAACAAUCAGAAUAGCUCCUUUGGGAAGUAUAGCCCAUUCAUAUGGAUCAUAAUGCCACUAAUUUUUUUCUAAAAGAAGAUGCUCCAUUACACAUCCAUUACAAAAAGGAACCCCCAGCAGGGCAGGGAACAAUGGCGUGGUUUUCAUAUCAAGGCAGCAAUCACUAAACUAUAUACGACAGCCACACCAUGUG
Molecule: unclassified non-coding RNA, 209 nt
Filed under: Hevea brasiliensis (rubber tree)
Lineage: Eukaryota; Viridiplantae; Streptophyta; Magnoliopsida; Malpighiales; Euphorbiaceae
Source: RNAcentral